This 224-nucleotide ribosomal RNA is filed under the name uncultured bacterium. Its description in RNAcentral is "partial 16S ribosomal RNA". It matches the Rfam family "Bacterial small subunit ribosomal RNA", at positions 524 to 746 of the family's 1533-position model. The record is from RNAcentral.
UACGUAGGUGGCAAGCGUUGUCCGGAAUUAUUGGGCGUAAAGCGCGCGCAGGCGGUCUCUUAAGUCUGAUGUGAAAUCCCGUGGCUUAACCACGGGCGGUCAUUGGAAACUGGGGGACUUGAGUGCAGAAGAGAAGAGCGGAAUUCCACGUGUAGCGGUGAAAUGCGUAGAGAAUGUGGAGGAACACCAGUGGCGAAGGCGGCCUGCUGGGCAGUAGCUGACAC